GAUGAACGCUGGCGGCGUGCUUAACACAUGCAAGUCGAACGGAAAGGCUCCUGCUUGCAGGGGUACUCGAGUGGCGAACGGGUGAGUAACACGUGGGUGAUCUGCCCUGCACUUCGGGAUAAGCCUGGGAAACUGGGUCUAAUACCGGAUAGGACGAUGGUUUGGAUGCCAUUGUGGAAAGUUUUUUCGGUGUGGGAUGAGCUCGCGGCCUAUCAGCUUGUUGGUGGGGUAAUGGCCUACCAAGGCGUCGACGGGUAGCCGGCCUGAGAGGGUGUACGGCCAAAUUGGGACUGAGAUACGGCCCAGACGCCAACGGGAGGCAGCAGUGGGGAAUAUUGCACAAUGGGCGCAAGCCUGAUGCAGCGACGCCGCGUGGGGGAUGACGGCCUUCGGGUUGUAAACUCCUUUCGCUAGGGACGAAGCGAAAGUGACGGUACCUGGAGAAGAAGCACCGGCUAACUACGUG
RNAcentral lists this ribosomal RNA (466 nucleotides) under uncultured bacterium. RNAcentral's name for it is "partial 16S ribosomal RNA". It matches the Rfam family "Bacterial small subunit ribosomal RNA", at positions 28 to 507 of the family's 1533-position model. The record is from RNAcentral.